RNAcentral lists this ribosomal RNA (460 nucleotides) under uncultured bacterium. RNAcentral describes it as "partial 16S ribosomal RNA". It matches the Rfam family "Bacterial small subunit ribosomal RNA", at positions 338 to 795 of the family's 1533-position model. The record is from RNAcentral.
CCUACGGGUGGCAGCAGUGAGGAAUAUUGGUCAAUGGGCGUAAGCCUGAACCAGCCAAGUAGCGUGCAGGAUGACGGCCCUACGGGUUGUAAACUGCUUUUAUACGGGAAUAACGCGCCUUACGUGUAGGGCUUUGCAUGUACCGUAUGAAUAAGGACCGGCUAAUUCCGUGCCAGCAGCCGCGGUAAUACGGAAGGUCCGGGCGUUAUCCGGAUUUAUUGGGUUUAAAGGGAGCGUAGGCCGCAUUUUAAGCGUGCAGUGAAAUGUUGGGGCUCAACCAGGGCCUUGCAGCGCGAACUGGCGUGCGUGAGUCCGCGGAAGGCAGGCGGAAUUCGUGGUGUAGCGGUGAAAUGCUUAGAUAUGACGAAGAACCCCGAUUGCGAAGGCAGCUUGCUGCAGCGGAACUGACGCUGAUGCUCGAAAGCGCGGGUAUCGAACAGGAUUAGAUACCCGUGUAGUC